This 6096-nucleotide long non-coding RNA is filed under the name Lactuca sativa (garden lettuce). RNAcentral's name for it is "long non-coding RNA (LSAT_LNC000282)". Lineage: Eukaryota; Viridiplantae; Streptophyta; Magnoliopsida; Asterales; Asteraceae. The record is from RNAcentral.
UUUUACAGUUUACAUCAUUUUUUGAGCUUAAAAAGAUAAAUUUACGUUAAUGAGUGUAAUCGACAUAAUAUUUCUCGGUUGGUGUUUUUCUACCCAUUCAGUUGGGUUUUUGACCUGUCUUGCAUGGGUUCCUCAUCUCUUAUUCUAUAGGACGAUGAGAGUUGGGCUUCUUCUUAUGAAGUCCAAAAUUCUUAAAGGAAUUGACAGCUUUCAUUACCACUUGUCAUCACAAGUGCAACUCGAGUUUCUUGAGUUCCCCUCCUCCUAUUCUACAGGUUGGUGGGAGAUGGUUUUCUUGCACGAAAUCCAUAAUAUAGCACAUCGUGCUUUGCAUCGGAAUUGACGGUAUUCAUUUUACUUGUUAAUGCAAGUGCAACCUGUGUUUCAUGGGUUCCCCACCGCCUAGUCUACGGGUCAUGGUGGGAGUUUGACUUCCUCUUAUGAAGUUUAAAAAUCUAAAAGGAAUUAACAGAUUUUAUCUUGUGAAUACAAGAUUGCCUAAGCUUCUUAGGCCCCCACCACUUAUUCAACGAGUCUUGGUGGGAGUUGGACUCAUAUUAUAAUGUCCAAAUGGCUUCAGCAAGGAAUUGACGGAUUUGAAAGAAGAAAAAUUCAUCACGAGCAAUUAAGGUGAAUAAAAGAUGUUUGGCAGAUUGACCACGUCUCAGUGUUUUCAUCAUAUCUGGCUCAUCCGAACUCCGAUUUAGGCGAUUCAAGAUGUUUCGGAAACUAGACACAAUUAUCUACAAGUUUCGUGUUUUGAGUUUUCAAUAAUUCAGUCGUUUUCCAGUUCAAAAUCGACUUGGAAGUUGAAUUUAGUUUGCUGGAAGAAAAUCAAAAGCUAAAGUAAAUUUUGAAAUAAAGUUGAAAGAUAAAGGGCUAAAGUUGUAACAUGCUGAAAGUUGAAAGCAAAGGGAUAAAUUUGUGCAAUGCAUGAAGGUUGGAGGAUCAUUCACGUAAUUAUGAUCUAUAUAAUAAUUGUUAGGCGAUCAAAUGGGGGGUGGCACGAAUAAAAAAAAUACGCAUGGAAAAUACCUACGAAGAUAAGAUGGUCGCCAUUCCUUCAGCCACCACGAUUGUUGCGAUUGAAGAGGACAUAUGACUUCGUUCUUGAGGCUACCUAUGUAGUAAUCACAUAUACCAAGUAAAUCAAUUUGGUCAUCUAUUUAACUUUCUAGUUAUUUUGUUUAUUUAUUUACUUUUGUUUCUCCUGCUAUGUAACUUGCUUUCGGUUCAUAACUUAUUAUUCAUUGUGUGUUAGUUUUAUGGUUGUUUUAAAUAUGAUGUUUAAACUUUGUUUAUCCACUAUUAUCAAUUUUAAUUUUAUGGAGUAAUAAUCUUUAGGGUUUGGUUGACUAGGAUGAGAUGAUAAUUUUAAUGUAGUUGAUUUUGUUUGAACCAAUUUUGUUGAAAUCGAAUAGCAUAUUCAAAUGUGUUCUUAUUUUAAAAAUAUAAAUUUUGAUCUGUAACUUUGAUUUUGGCUAACAUUUGAUCAACGUUGGUUAUGGUUAAUUUACUUGGUUUAAAUUUAAUAUUUACAUGCUUAUAUUGACUUCGAGAGAAGCUUUAUUUGUGACAUUGUUUGAAUAUGAAUGUGCGGUUUCGUUAUCUCGCUUAAACUUAACAUAGACGUGUGUUAGGGCAUUUUUAACAAAACCAUUGGACUUAAUGCUUUUUAAAAUCAUAAACUACAUAGAGAUAUGAGUGAAUGUUUUUUAAAUCGAAUCAUGAGACCGAGAGGUAAUUGAUAACUUUUGUUGGUGUUAAGUUAUUCGUUUCUAUAUAAUUGGUUUGACAAAUUAGUUGCAUUAGAAGAAUCAUUGAACCCGUAUAAGUCAACCGAAUCCUGUUUUUCUCAUAAUUUAUUUUUCGUUUUUACCUUGGUGAAUUUAGUUUAAUUUUAUUUUAAUUGUUUCCUUAGUUUAAUAAAAUCAAUCACUUUUGCAAUCAAUUGCCUAGUUCACUCUUUCUUAGAAUAGGAUAGUCCCUGUGGGUUCGAUAUCUGGUCUUACGACUAUACUACUUGCACGACCUCGUAUACUUGCGAGUACGCGUUUUCGUCAACAAGUUUUUGGCGCCGUUGCCGGGAAAUAUUUUUAUUUUUAAGUUAGAACAUUAGGUAUUUAUUAGACUCUUAAACAUCUUGAGGAUAUUUUACUCUGGCCGGUCGAAGAUUCAGACCACCUGAAUUUGCGCUUGAUUGGGAGAUUGAAAGAACUUUGAGAGGGUUGAGGAGACUUAGGAAUCAAGAAGAUAUGGGAGAUAACGUAAACAAAAACAAUAAUGGAAACAGAGGUUUCGAAGGAACAAACCCGCCAAUUGUCAGCGCAACAAUUAAUGCUGACAAUUUUGAAUUCAAACCUGUGAUGUUUCAGAUGAUCAAUAACAAUGGUCUCUUUGGAGGUAUGCCUAGUGAUGAGCCCUUGUCCCAUCUGCGUUCCUUUAACCAGAUGUGCGAUAAUUUCAAACAAAGAGGUAUGACGGCUGAUGCAUUUAGGAUGAGAUUAUUUCCAUACACACUACAAGGGAAAGCUCGAGACUGUUUUGAGUCUUUGCCUUCUGAUUCCAUCACCACGUGGGAGGAAUUAAGAGAAAAAUUCCUAAAAAGAUUUUUCCCACCCACUCGAAAUGCAAAUCUAAGAAACGCCAUCACAUCAUUCCAACAAAUGGAUGGUGAAUCGUUAUGGGAAGUGUGGGAGAGAUGGAACAAUUUGCUAAGAAAAUGUCCAACACAUCGACUCCCUGACGAUGUGAAACUUGAGACAUUUUACCAAGGUUUGGAUGCUCAAACAUGCAUGCUAGUAGAUACAUCAGCUGGAGGAGCAUUGCUUACAAAGAGAUAUGAGGAGAGCGUGGAGAUAUUGGAUAGAAUAGCAACCAAUAAUUUCCAGUGGCCCACAGAUAGGGUACAUGCAAGUGGUUCGAAAGGAAGUACACCGGCUGAAGUUCGUCUUGCAGCUCAAAAUGAUGCAUUAGCAGCCGAGUUGGCCACAAUCAAGAGCAUGAUGAAGAAUAUGAUGUCAAGCAAUGGGAUGAAAGAGAAGAAGGUUGACUUUUGUGUGGUUUGUCAAGGCAUCCAUGAUUAUAGUGAGUGCCCACAGAAUCCUGAAUCCGUAUUUUUCAUGGACAGACAAAAUUUCCCACGAAAAAACAAUCCAUACUCUGAAACAUACAAUCUAGGAUGGAGAAAUCAUCCUAAUUUCUCAUGGGGUGGACAGCAACAAUAACAUAUGCAAUCUCAGCAAGAGCAGUUUCAGCAAAGGCCUCAAAACCCGCCGGGGUUUUAUCAUAUGCCAAAUCAGCAAGUAGGACCACAUGGAGGCGCAUUCCACCAGGCAUCAGGAAGUAGUUCAAAACCAGCAACGCCUUCAUCAAAUCAAGAGAUGUCACCUUUCGAGAAAGCAAUGAUGGAGUUUAUGAUAAAACAAGAUCAAAAGACUGAGGCACGUGAAAAGAAUCAAGAAAUUGCUAUGAGAAAUUUAUAAAAUCAAUUAGGGCAAUUAGCACAAGCACUAAACUCACGAGAACCUGGAACGUUGCCAAGUAACACCCAAAAUCCAGGUAAUGUCAAUGAUAAGAGGCAAUGUAAUGCCAUCACACUUAGAUCGGGAAAGGAGUUAGCUCCAAAGAAUUAUGACUUACCAGUCACCGAUGAUGAGCAGCACCCGGUAAGUGUUAAGACUCAUAAAAAGAAGCAAGAAUUGAAAGAUGAUGAAAAAGAGUAUGUCGAGAUUGAGGACAUAACCGAUGAGGAGUACGGGCAGAAGAAACCGAACAACGAAGCUCUAACAAGUUCAAGUCCAAGUGUUGGAAAAGAAAGCCCAAGGAAAAGAUGCUCGAACUGGUGCGACAGUUGCACCAACAACCUUACCUUUCCCACCUAGGAAAAGUAAAUCCAACGAAGAUGAUGGGCAAUUUAAGAAGUUUCUAGAGAUCCUUUCUCAACUUCAUAUCAACAUCCCUUUUGUUGAAGCCUUAAAACAAAUGCCCACAUAUGCAAAGUUCAUGAAGGAAGUUCUUACAAGGAAAAGAGUUUGGAGAGAGUUUGAGACUGUUGCAAUGACGAAAAGUUGCACGUCAAUAAUCAAAAAUAGAUUACCUGUGAAGAAGGAUGAUCCAUGUAGUUUCAUUCUACCGUGCAAAAUUGGAAAAUUUAACAAGAUUGGUUUGUGUGACCUUGGUGCAAGUAUCAAUUUAAUGCCUUUGUCAAUUUUUCGAAAAUUAGGACUUGGUGAAGCUAGACCGACCACAGUUUCACUCCAGCUAGCAGACCGAUCUAUGGUAUAUCUAGAAGGUAAAAUAGAGGAUAUCAUUAUCAAGGUUGAUAAUCUUUUCAUUCCAGCUGAUUUUAUCAUUUUGGAUUAUGAAGCUGAAGAUGAUUGUGGAAUAAUCUUAGGGAGGCCAUUUUUGGCAAUUGCUGAUGCUUUAAUUGAUGUCAAAAAGGGAAAGGUUACAUUGAGAGUAAAUGACGAGCAAAAGACUUUUAAUAUGUUUAAGGCUAUCAAAAAACCUUCUAAUGUGGAAGAAUGCUCAUUCAUACGAGUUACAAAUGGAUUGGUAGAUUUAAAGGAGGCCCACUUGAACAAGGUGACUCGUAACAUGGAGGAAAAUAGAGAGUCCACAGUUAAACGUGUAGUGAGUCAGGUCAAGGAGAAGCAUGACUUGAAUGAUAGUGUGAUUGAAUCAUCUUUGCCAUCCCUUGAAAAAGUAUAUGAUUUAGAGUUGAAGUGGCCUUCAGAACACUUGAUGAAGGUUGGAAAGAAAAGGAUGAAACAUUUGUUGAGGCAUGAGGAGUUUAAAAUAGAAAAUCAUGAAAAUAUCAAAAUUCAAAUGUUUGGGGAUGCGAAAUGGCAANCCAAAAUUCAAAAGUUUGGGGAUGAGAAAUGGCAAGGCAAGGAGAUUUUGAAAAGAGACAACGAGAGAAAGGAUUUGGGUGAUCAAACAACGAGACAAAUACCAUUUUGGAGAAUGAAAAGAGGAAGUGAUGGUGCUUCAUUUGAAGCAGGUUGAAGAGUAAUUUGUUUGUUUUAUUUUUUAAUUUUUAUUUUCAUUUUUUUAAUUUUUAUUAUUAUUAGUUUUAGUAUUAUUAUUUUUGUUUUAUUUUUGCUUUUGUUUUUUUUUCGUUUAUUUCAAUUAUUUUCAUUUUUGCAUUGUUGCUUAUUUCAUUUCUUAUUAUUUGUUUUGUUCUAAUAAAUUUGUCGAGUGUGCAGCCCUUGUUUGCUAUCCAGGUAGUUGGUGAUGAAGUCAGAGUCGUGGAAAACAAAAAGUUUAAGCUAUACUUAGAGAUCAGCCGUCACAAUAUACGUUCUUGGUUUAUCAUAUCAUGUGAGACGACAUACUAUCAGGGAGUAUUCUUUUUAUUCUAUUUUUAUUGCUCGGGAUGAGCAAUGUUUAAAGUUUGGGGAUGUGUUUAGUGCUCGUUUUUCGAUCUCUAAAUGAACUAAAAAACUUAUUUUUGUCCCCAGAUUUUACAGUUUACAUCAUUUUUUGAGCUUAAAAAGAUAAAUUUACGUUAAUGAGUGUAAUCGACAUAAUAUUUCUCGGUUGGUGUUUUUCUACCCAUUCAGUUGGGUUUUUGACCUGUCUUGCAUGGGUUCCUCAUCUCUUAUUCUAUAGGACGAUGAGAGUUGGGCUUCUUCUUAUGAAGUCCAAAAUUCUUAAAGGAAUUGACGGCUUUCAUCACCACUUGUCAUCACAAGUGCAACUCGAGUUUCUUGAGUUCCCCUCCUCCUAUUCUACAGGUUGGUGGGAGAUGGUUUUCUUGCACGAAAUCCAUAAUAUAGCACAUCGUGCUUUGCAUCGGAAUUGACGGUAUUCAUUUUACUUGUUAAUGCAAGUGCAACCUGUGUUUCAUGGGUUCCCCACCGCCUAGUCUACGGGUCAUGGUGGGAGUUUGACUUCCUCUUAUGAAGUUCAAAAAUCUAAAAGGAAUUAAUGGAUUUUAUCUUGUGAAUACAAGAUUGCCUAAGCUUCUUAGGCCCCCACCACUUAUUCAACGAGUCUUGGUGGGAGUUGGACUCAUAUUAUAAUGUCCAAAUGGUUUCUGCAAGGAAUUGACGGAUUUGAAAGAAGAUAAAUUCAUCACGAGAAAAUAAG